AAGGUUGGGUAAGUUUUUUUUUUCAUGAAGUGUGAUGCAUAAUGAGGAUGCAAAUGUUAUACAUAUUUUAUUUCCAGGGAGUCAUUUGAGUUUCAUUAGUUGUUAGUAAUUCGAAGAAACAAAAAAAUACUUAGAAUAGCAAUAAUGGAGUAAUUUUUAAACGUCAUUCAUUCCAAUACAUAACAUAGAGGUCCAAAAAGGUCAUAAUUCAAAAGUACAUUUGUUAAAGGAACAAAAUACAAGACAUAGGAAAAUUAAACAACUGGCUUUUU
This 272-nucleotide long non-coding RNA is filed under the name Lathyrus oleraceus (garden pea). RNAcentral's name for it is "Pisum sativum (pea) long non-coding RNA (PSAT_LNC009577)". The record is from RNAcentral. Lineage: Eukaryota; Viridiplantae; Streptophyta; Magnoliopsida; Fabales; Fabaceae.